ACCGAUAGGGGAAGGGACCGAGGUAACUCCGUGCCCGAAGAGGGGCCGCCUAGGGGGGACUCCCCUCCUCGCCACGCCCCCCCACUCACCACGAGCCCCGGACAGCAGCAGCAGCAGCGCCAGGAGCCCCCGGGCGCCGGGCGGGCAGCUCGGAGCCGAGACCAUGGCGGCGCCGGCAGGAGAAGUCACGGGACGGCGGAGCGGACCCAGGGCGAUGCCGCUUUAGAGACCCAACCUUUGGCUCUGACUCAGCAUCCGGCCCCGGCACCUGCCGGCAGUGAAAUUCUAGCACCCACUAGAUUUCAUAGCAUGGAGAAAUUGAACAUGACAACACGACGCAUGAGAGUCAACAACAUUGGAUUACUUCUACUACAGUAAAAGCCCAUUUCUGCUGGGUAAGUAUCUUCGCUUAUGAACUGCCAACACUGGAUAUUUUAUUCAAAUGACAUUGCAAACUGGGCUUCUGAAUAUAAAGCUUAUCUUAAACAAGCUACCUGCUUGAUGAUCAUGACAAAACGGAACAGGAUUGCAUGAUUAUAAACUUCACUUCAGUGGGAUAAAGUCCAAUAGUCCACACUAUUAAAUAAGGCUCCUUAAAAACACUCACUAGAAUGAAACAUUUAGUGAGAAAUGAGAAGGAAAGUUGGAAAUUCUAGAAGUCAGAAUGGAUUUCUGAAGAAUUUCGUUCUACAUAUUUAGGAGGGCUUUGUAUAAAUGAUUGUUUGUAGGUUGCUGCAGUCUAUUAGCUUAGUCAGGGCUUGGACAUCACUGGCUUUCCUUGUAUGGAUUCCAGGGAGUGUCAUACUAGAAAUCUCAUUCACCAUAUAAACAAUACUGGGCAGGUGCUUUUAUAAAUUCAGUUGUAAACCAUGUUUAUGUGGGAAGGCAAAUAUGCAAAUCUUUUCACAACAGUUGAGUAACCAAGUUAAUCAGUAAAAGGCAGACUUCACACAAUCCAACAUGUCAUUAGCAAAAUUAAUCUUUAAUUAAAAUAAAAAUUAGAUUAAAAAUAGACUAGAUAUUCGG
This 1026-nucleotide long non-coding RNA is filed under the name Chrysemys picta bellii (western painted turtle). RNAcentral describes it as "lncRNA (ENSCPBG00000013378.1)". Lineage: Eukaryota; Metazoa; Chordata; Testudines; Emydidae. The record is from RNAcentral.